AACCUUGAGCAGGGACAGCAUUCAAAAACCCUGGCUUCAGAUGCCUCCUUGAAUGUCUCAUUCUCCUGAACAAGGUCAAUGGUGACAGAUCUCAUCUCUGGCAGCAAGAGAGGAAUUAAGGAGAUAUCUCCUUCUGAAUGCUCUUGGUUGAGGAGACAGCUUGUAGCUGUUAGUUUGCUGGAGAUGCUGACGUGGAUGAACGGCUGACUCUGAGCUGGUGGUCGUGAAUUUGAUAGUUACAUAUGGAGAUUUGUGCUCAGUUAACUUUUACAUCCUCGUUGGGAAUGACUGGGGAUGUUUCACUCUGGGGUUAUAUAUGAAGAUUUUAAUCUGUGUCAUAAAUUCACCAUCAUGAUGCAGCUACUGGAGUAAGUGCAGAAGAGAGAAGGCAGGGUGG
Molecule: long non-coding RNA, 397 nt
Organism: Empidonax traillii (willow flycatcher)
Lineage: Eukaryota; Metazoa; Chordata; Aves; Passeriformes; Tyrannidae
Exons: 3
Source: RefSeq, a predicted model, not a curated record